UUGAGCCGGAUGCAGGGUGAUCUGCUUGUCCGGUUCUUAGGGGGCCAUGGCGCAGCAAUGCGUCAUGGCUACCCGAC
RNAcentral lists this non-coding RNA (77 nucleotides) under Paraburkholderia diazotrophica. The record is from RNAcentral. Lineage: Bacteria; Pseudomonadati; Pseudomonadota; Betaproteobacteria; Burkholderiales; Burkholderiaceae.